RNAcentral lists this long non-coding RNA (2675 nucleotides) under Androctonus crassicauda. Lineage: Eukaryota; Metazoa; Arthropoda; Arachnida; Scorpiones; Buthidae. The record is from RNAcentral.
CUUAGGUGGUUUCCAUUUUUGUUUUCAUUCUAGUCUAGAAUUUUUUAUUUUUAUUUCUGCCCUAAGUUGUUUAAUGUUAAAUUAACGUGAUACAAGAUAACGUUAGACAAAGUAAUUGUAUAAAACAUUAAGUUGGCGAUGUAUAUCGUUUUAAUUAUAAGUUGCAAGUUACAGAUUCCAGGUUAGCAAAGCGCUUAAUUACUGCAGUUGCCAUUCUUCUGAACUCGAAUAUUUAUUUAUGAAGGACAUUUAGUUUAUCGAAAUUUAGCGGAUAUUAAUGACCAAGAGCAGUGACGAAAACUUGGUUGCAACUUAGAAUGCCUCUGACAGGAUUUUUCUCCAUUACAGGCUAGCGUAUGGUAUGGUGAGAAAUUUUUCCUUUUUAGAACGAAUAUCAUUAAAUUCGGGUUAGCGUCCUAUUUUUUGAGGCCCAACCUUCUAUCGCUACAUCUUAAAUAGGUCAAUUAUUUACGUAUCCUAAUUAACCAAAGAUUAUCUAAUAAGUAUUUUUCGACUCGGACAUGUUCUCGAUAAUCGUUUAUUAAGUAAUCGUUAAGUCGCGAGUUAUGUUAUUACUCCGAUAAUUGGCCCGUUUACGUCGAUAUUUCCUCGUUCUCCGUCCAGGAAAAUUCGAUCUUAAUAGCCUGUCUUCGGGCUCCGACCGGACCAUAAAAAAAAAAAAAAAAAAAAAACACAUUUUAAAAUUAGAUCCGAAAAUUCUAAAUCCAGAAACAUGUGGCUAGGACAGUAAUCCCUCCUUAAUAUUUAUCACCGGAAAUCGUCCGAUACGCAUCUCUUGCACUUGUUUUACAAAGCAAAUCGAAAGGUGGGGGAUGAACGAAACAGCGUAAUUAACUCGCUUAACGCUCUAACCGGAUUUUUCUGUUGAUACGGCGGUCACGUACUCGACCGAUUUUUUGUUAAUUUGCAUAUUUUAACGCCUGAUGGUUCUUGGAUUCUCUAACUGGUUCCUCACUCGUAACCGGAAAUUUUUUCUUGGCUCAUUAUAUCGUAAUUUUCUUACGUAUCUUUUGUCGAAAACAAGUGACAUUGAAUAAAUAUUAGAUGUGAAGAUGUGCACGGCCCAAUGGAUAUUUGUCACGGUGUAGUCACCAGUUAUAGGGACGUGUCACGAUAGAACCGGAAACAUCACAACCUAGGAUAUUAAUUGGCGGCCAUCGAACAGUCACCUGGCCUGUAGAUACGCACGACACUGUAAUUAUACGAUAGGGUUGCGUGCUCCGAGAUGCCUGAUUAGCCCAUCCUCUCAUUAACCUUCUUCCUACGCCGAGAUGAUUUAUAUCCCUCUUCUGUUUAAGAAACGAUAUUCAGAAUUUUUUACUCUCCACCACGCAAAAAAAAUCCGUUUUUCUCAACAAAAUUUUGAAUUUUGUUCCCACAAUUAGGAAUGAUGGCGCGAGUUCUUCUUCUUCUUCUAUGCUAAUAUGGAGGAUAGGCGCGAGUUUGAAUGGCGCGAUUCAAUUAUAAAAGACAGCGCUAAUCGGAACUGGUGUCGGCGACUGGUGGACGUUUAUGGCUUCAUUAAAUCGGAAUGGUUAGUAGGAUGGAAAGCGGUCGGAAAGAGGGGGAAGGAAGAAAGUUGGCAUAAAAAGAGGCAAAGGUCGCAUGUCCGAGGGAUGGAGGAUAAAUCUUAGGGGUGUGAGGGAGUUCCGGUAUGUAUAAUUAACUUAGUCGUAACGCGAAGUAAACGGUGGGCAGGUUAUAGGGGUGUGGUUAUUGUCAGGAAUGCUGUAGAUGAUGGAUUACGCUUCAUCACGUUGUCAGACUGGACCGCUUUUUUUCCCCUUCUGGCCGUAGACAUUGACGUUUCCGUGAUGGCGGUGACGUCACGCAGACACGUGAAGUGAGAGAAACGCGCGGUUGAAUGGACUAUAGCGAUUGUCUCGUCGAUUAAUCGCCUGUUAAGGACAUCGACACGUUCGAUUCCGACUCCUCCAGCCAGCGAACAAUGGCGCUACGUAAAUUAGAUUUCUUUAAUUCAUCAAUCCAACCCAACGCGUUGUUACGCGCAAUAGACAGAUGGAAAGAUUGCCGCUUCUCUUUUUUUCCCAUUAAUUAAAACUACUCGGUGGAAAAUACAAUGAGAGAUUUGUAAAGAGAGAAAGACGCUUCGAAAAUCUCUAACAACUCGUAGCGGAGAUAAGAUUGUAUUGCUGAUUUUCUUUCGUGCUCUAUCGCUUUUAAAACUACUGCGCUCAACCACAGAGACAUAUGUCUGGAUAACGGGUUUUAAAUCUCAAUUUUUAAAGCCUAAUCAUCUCUCAUUGGUAUCGGAAUGGCGCCAAUUGCGCUUAUUUUUCUUCCGAAUCCAAGUGGAAAGAAAAAAAAAAUGGAGAAAAAUGUUCACACAAUAAACUAUUGCGCUUUUAAUCAUAGCGAAAUUUCGAAUGGUAGCGUGUUUUCAACGUUUCAAGGCGCUACCAUGCAAACUUUACAAUUUUGCAUGAGUGUCGAUGAUGACAACUGUUUUGUGUCUUCAUCAACAUUCAACCAUAACAAACUUUUAAAGCGCGGAAAGAAAGGUAUCCGAAAAGAAAAAAAAUGAAAGAUAACCAUAAAGAGUUUACUAAAUUAGUAUCGAGUUUUUUUUUUUUUUUUUUUUUUUUGAUUGUUAAUUAAAUGUUUUUGUAGUUUAAAAUGAAUUUUUUUAAAAA